AUAGCACAAAGCAUAGCAAAUUCACAUUAUUAAAACAUAUAACAAACCAUUUAAGAAGUAUUGGUAUGUACCGGUAAACUGUUUUUUGUAUUCAUACUAUUGUUAAGAAUUUUAUGUCUCUUUACAGGAAGUGCCCCUUUUAAGUCAAAGUAUGACAUCAUCACAGAAGCUGUGAUGUGUGUCAUUGGAAAAGACAACGUAACGGUGAUGGGCACUGCUCCAUUAAACCUGGACAGCACCUAUUUGCAGCUGACAGGGUCAAGUGCUGAGAGUCAUGAGGAUGCUUUAGAGGAUGCUAUUUUGCCAAGAAAGGAGCGCACAACCACAGAGAAAAAUCCUUCAAGAUGUGUGGUCUCACAUGCUUGGUAACUAUACAUGUUUGUUCAUCGAAACUAUAUUAUGCUUGUUUGUUUUAAUGAAUAUGCC
This is a long non-coding RNA of Dreissena polymorpha, 426 nucleotides long. RefSeq lists it as uncharacterized. NCBI's taxonomy places the organism in Eukaryota, Metazoa, Mollusca, Bivalvia, Myida, Dreissenidae. The transcript is spliced from 3 exons. The record is from RefSeq and is a predicted model, not a curated record.